GGUCAAGUUAUUAAGGGCUUACGGUGGAUGCCUUGGCACCAAAAGCCGAUGAAGGGCGCGGUAAGGCUGCGUUAAGCCUCGAUGAGCCGUCUAACGGGCAUAGUCGGGGAUACCCGAAUGGGGAAACCCUAUCCGGUGUUGAGUCGGAUAAUCCUCUUUUUCGAGAGAGGAGGGCAAGUGGGGGAACUGAAACAUCUAAGUACCCCGAGGAAAGUAAAUCAACCGAGAUUCCCUUAGUAGUGGCGAACGAACGGGGAUCAGCCUAAACCAGUAUGACUUAGUGGUAUAAGGGCCUAUGUCGUAUUGGGGUUGCAGGGAUUGCCUAGAGCCCCCUUAUGAGGCUCGAAGGAGUUACAAAUCUUAUCUCUAGUCGAAGGAUCCUGGGAAGGACCGCCACAGAGGGUGACAGCCCCGUAGGCGAAAGGGAUGAGACUCCUGGCGUAUUACCUAAGUACCACGGGGCACGGGAAACCUUGUGGGAAUCUGGGGGGACCACCCUCCAAGGCUAAAUACCCUUGGUCACCGAUAGCGUACCAGUACCGUGAGGGAAAGGUGAAAAGAACCCCUAGCGGGGAGUGAAAUAGAUCUGAAACCGUAAGCCUACAGAAGGUCGUAGUCCUGACUUCGGUCGGGAUGGCGGCGUGCCUAUUGAAGAAUGAUCCGGGGACUUAAUGUAUGGAGCAAGGUUAAGGAACUGUAGUUCCGGAGCCGUAGCGAAAGCGAGUCUGAAUAGGGCGCCAAGUUCCAUGUAUUAGACUCGAAACCGAGUGAGCUACCCAUGGCCAGGUUGAAGGUCCGGUAACACGGACUGGAGGACCGAACUCGUGGCUAGUACAAAAGCUUGGGAUGAGCUGUGGGUAGAGGUGAAAUGCCAAUCGAACUCGGAAAUAGCUAGUUCUCCUCGAAAUGCAUUUAGGUGCAGCCUCGAUCUAUAGGUGGACGGAGGUAGGGCACUGAAUGGGCUAGGGGGCGUGAGCUUACCAAACCCAAUCAAACCACCAAUGCCGUUUAUCCGUUAAUCGGGAGUGAGACCGGCACAGAUAAGUGCGUCGGUCGAAAGGGAAACAGCCCAGACCACCGGCUAAGGCCCCUAAGAAUUGACUAAGUGGGAAAGGAAGUUAGGUUCCCAAAACAACCAGGAGGUUGGCUUAGAAGCAGCCAUCCUUUAAAGAGUGCGUAAUAGCUCACUG
RNAcentral lists this ribosomal RNA (1190 nucleotides) under SAR202 cluster bacterium. RNAcentral describes it as "partial 23S ribosomal RNA". It matches the Rfam family "Bacterial large subunit ribosomal RNA", at positions 1 to 1147 of the family's 2925-position model. Lineage: Bacteria; Bacillati; Chloroflexota; Dehalococcoidia. The record is from RNAcentral.